UAGGGAAUCUUCCGCAAUGGGCGAAAGCCUGACGGAGCAACGCCGCGUGAGUGAUGAAGGUCUUCGGAUCGUAAAACUCUGUUAUUAGGGAAGAACAAAUGUGUAAGUAACUAUGCACGUCUUGACGGUACCUAAUCAGAAAGCCACGGCUAACUACGUGCCAGCAGCCGCGGUAAUACGUAGGUGGCAAGCGUUAUCCGGAAUUAUUGGGCGUAAAGCGCGCGUAGGCGGUUUUUUCAGUCUGAUGUGAAAGCCCACGGCUCAACCGUGGAGGGUCAUUGGAAACUGGAAAACUUGAGUGCAGAAGAGGAAAGUGGAAUUCCAUGUGUAGCGGUGAAAUGCGCAGAGAUAUGGAGGAACACCAGUGGCGAAGGCGACUUUCUGGUCUGUAACUGACGCUGAUGUGCGAAAGCGUGGGGAUCAAACAGG
RNAcentral lists this ribosomal RNA (429 nucleotides) under Actinomycetes bacterium. RNAcentral describes it as "Actinobacteria bacterium partial 16S ribosomal RNA". It matches the Rfam family "Bacterial small subunit ribosomal RNA", at positions 355 to 776 of the family's 1533-position model. Lineage: Bacteria; Bacillati; Actinomycetota; Actinomycetes. The record is from RNAcentral.